Molecule: ribosomal RNA, 254 nt
Filed under: uncultured bacterium
Lineage: Bacteria
Description: partial 16S ribosomal RNA
Rfam family: Bacterial small subunit ribosomal RNA
Source: RNAcentral
UACGUAGGGGCCUAGCGUUGUCCGGAUUUAUUGGGCGUAAAGAGCUCGUAGGCGGUUCGGUAAGUCAGGUGUGAAAUCUCCACGCUCAACGUGGAGGGGCCACCUGAUACUGCCGUGACUCGAGUCCGGUAGGGGAGUGUGGAAUUCCCGGUGUAGCGGUGAAAUGCGCAGAUAUCGGGAGGAACACCAGUGGCGAAGGCGGCUUCCUGGACCGGUUCUGACACUGAGGAGCGAAAGCGUGGGGAGCGAUCCGG